Molecule: ribosomal RNA, 451 nt
Filed under: uncultured bacterium
Lineage: Bacteria
Description: partial 16S ribosomal RNA
Rfam family: Bacterial small subunit ribosomal RNA
Source: RNAcentral
GUGGGGAAUUUUGGACAAUGGGCACAAGCCUGAUCCAGCAAUGCCGCGUGCAGGAAGAAGGCCUUCGGGUUGUAAACUGCUUUUGUACGGAACGAAACGGUCCUGGCUAAUAUCCGGGGCUAAUGACGGUACCGUAAGAAUAAGCACCGGCUAACUACGUGCCAGCAGCCGCGGUAAUACGUAGGGUGCGAGCGUUAAUCGGAAUUACUGGGCGUAAAGCGUGCGCAGGCGGUGCUGUAAGACAGGCGUGAAAUCCCCGGGCUAAACCUGGGAAUUGCGCUUGUGACUGCAGUGCUGGAGUGCGGCAGAGGGGGAUGGAAUUCCGCGUGUAGCAGUGAAAUGCGUAGAUAUGCGGAGGAACACCGAUGGCGAAGGCAAUCCCCUGGGCCUGCACUGACGCUCAUGCACGAAAGCGUGGGGAGCAAACAGGAUUAGAUACCCCUGGUAGUCC